This 464-nucleotide ribosomal RNA is filed under the name uncultured bacterium. RNAcentral describes it as "partial 16S ribosomal RNA". It matches the Rfam family "Bacterial small subunit ribosomal RNA", at positions 28 to 507 of the family's 1533-position model. The record is from RNAcentral.
GACGAACGCUGGCGGCGUGCUUAACACAUGCAAGUCGAACGGAAAGGCCCCUUUUGGGGUACUCGCGUGGCGAACGGGUGAGUAACACGUGAGUAACCUGCCCUUGACUUCGGGAUAACUUCAUGCAACUGGGGCUAAUACCGGAUAGGAAUCCUUGCUGCAUGGUGGGGGUUGGAAAGCUUCGGCGGUUUUGUAUGGACUCGCGGCUAAUAAGUUUGUUGGUGGGGUAGUGGCUUACCAAGGCUUUCAGGGGUAGCCGGCCUGCGGGGGCGACCGGCCAAAUGGGGCUGGGGAACGGGCCAGAAUCCCAAGGGAGGCAGGAGGGGGGGAAUAUGGACAAUGGGGGGGAGGCUGAAGGAGGAAAGCCGCGGGGGGGGAGACGGGCUUCGGGGUGGAAACCGGCUUCAGCAGGUGCGGAGCUUGUGGUGACGGUACCUGGAGAAGAAGCACCGGCUAACUACGUG